Rhinolophus ferrumequinum (greater horseshoe bat) is the source of this 5232-nucleotide long non-coding RNA. RefSeq lists it as uncharacterized. Lineage: Eukaryota; Metazoa; Chordata; Mammalia; Chiroptera; Rhinolophidae. The transcript has 3 exons. The record is from RefSeq and is a predicted model, not a curated record.
GCACCGGCCCAUCUUGAGCUCUGCUGCACUGGUGGCUGUCAGGACCGAAUUCACAUUUGUUUUUAUCUUGGCUGAGGGCAGGUGGCCUUCAGUUCACACUCAGGCCCCUGCCAUGCCAGCCUGAGCAGAGCCCAUGCAAAGGAAGGGAACGAGCCUAAGGUCUGCCUGUGGCCAGCAGUUGUCUGGGUUUUUGUUGCCCUGCCCUAAACAAUGUGUCCGUCAGCUUGAGCUGCAGCUGUUGGACAAAGCGCCCAAUCUAAAGCUGCAGUAUGGUCUAGUGGUCACGGGAGAAGCAGUGCAAUAUUGAUGCCAAGGGGUCUUGGUGCCACGGAUCCGCACAGGCUGCCUCCUUUUCGCCUCCCAGGGACACUCUGGAGGCCAAAUGCUGGAGUGUGGGAGCACCAGCAGUCAAACUAUUCUACUGGUUAGGUGUUAGCAACCCAUGUAAGCUGAGGCAUGAAGCAACUUAGGAGCUGAGACCUCUGCUCCCAGAGGACCGCGCGGCACCUGUGGGCACAGGCCACUGCAGUGUGUGACAAACUGGUGCUCCGGAGCCCAGCGGGGCUGGCCCAGCCCCUGGUGAGUUCUAGCUGCCUUGUCUGCUUGUUUACUUCACAACCAAAUGUGUCCCCUCUCGUCUCAGGUAAGGGACGAAAGUCUUUAGCUGUAUGUAGUACCCACAUAACAGAAACCGAGAAGCUAUUACUUGGGCAAACUCACUCACAGGCAGAAAGGGACGAGGGCCUCCCCUUUACGGUGGGAAGGGGGGUGGGGUGGGUGUGAGAGUGAGAGCGCCUUAGCGUGGUUUAACCACAAGCCAGUUUUAGGGGCCUGUGAAAUACCUGCGAACUAGCCUGACCAAGCCCCAGCUGCCCCUAAACUACCAAGUCACUAUGACACUGCCUUUCAGGAAACGUCCUGUCACCCAGCUACAGUACAGGUAUGGCCACAUGCUUUAACUCCUUAGCUUUGCCAGUUCAUUCCCCCAAAAUGUCCCCAGACCCCUAACUUUCCAACUCCCCCAAACCUGUAAUCCAGAGCUGCCUUCUUGAUUCAGAAGUCGGGGGGCAGAGAGAUGUGUCCACAGUGGCCACUGCCCUGCACGCCUCCCUCGGCCCCCUGUGGCAGGCUCUCAGGCAGUCCCGGGGGGGGGGGACGCGGGGGGGCUGCAGGCCAGGGCCAGGCACUGGGCUAAGCACUGCUCCCCAGAGGGCUUUAUUUGGGCAGAGUCCUCACCACCGUCCGGACUGCCUGUCGGAAGGCGUCUUCUCUACUGCCUGGCUAGAGCUGCAAAGAAAGGGACAGAUCCCACUUUGGUAAAAGAGGACAGGGAGAGGCCAUCAACAAAGACAGACUGGUAGUUUAUUUUGUAUUUUUUUAAAUAAAUACACUUUACAUUAAAGAAAAAGGCCUUUGAUUUAUAAUUUCCACAUUGGGGAGAAAGAAGAAAAAAAAGGAUUUUUUAAAAACUGAAUGACAAAGAAAAAUAGAGGGAGUGAACUCAUAUCCUACGUUCCCUGAACUCCACAGAACCCACCCGCUCCGACCUCGCUGCCCCAGGCCACGAAGCUGCGCGGGGCGAGGCAUUUACUCGGCGAACAAGCUCUGGCACAAAGGAAAGCAAAUUAACCUGACAGCAUAUGAGGCAACGAAAACAGGUUAAAAAUCAUAUAUUAUAUUUAUAAUAAAAUAUUCUUAAUCCUUAUCAAUUUAAGAAACCACGAUUUUCCUUUUCAUUUAAAUACGUAUGUAAAAAUGCCUCUCUAUUGUUCUUUAGAUGUCAUUUUCUUCCAUAGAAAAUGAAGUGCAGGGACAAGACCUGGUGGAUACAAGUUCAUACCCUCGGUUAUAAAUGCCUGGCUUUUUUUUUCUUUUUAAGUUUUAUAAAAAACUAUUUCUUGUUCUUUAAGUAAAGAACAUUAUACAAAGAAAAUAUAUUGUGAAAUAACCCCAGAGACAUGUUUCUUUUCCUUGAGGAGAGCUAUGUCCCCCCUAGGAGAAGGGGAAGCAGACGAGGCCUAACCCGUUGUCUUUUUGUGGUGGUUCUUGUUGGGAAGGGCCCUCAGGUCCCAGUGAGACUCUAAGCUAGUCCUCUGAGCGCAGGCCAUGCACAGCCCUGGGAGGAAGGGGAGGGAAGGUGUUCUGAAUGCAUCUGACUCAGUUUCUCGCCUGCCAAGAAUCUCCCAUGUGGUGAUGGCUCCUCACUCAUUCAGAGAUAAGAUGAUGUCAUCUUCCAGAUCAGAGCUGUCCGCGCUGUCGGCUGCAAGGAAGAAAACUGAAGUGGAUAAAGUAAAACUAAGAAAAACAUGGCCAUGAUUCAAGAAAAUCCUGGAAAUAAGCAAAGAGAUGGCUGGAAAAACCAGUGUUCCUGGGUCUAAAAGGCUCAAGCACAGACUGAUGACUGGUGAGCAGGGGAAACAGGAUGGAAAGAUCAUCCAAGAACUAAUACCUGACACAGCUGCUCCAAACAGCCCCGUCAGCUUCCUGGCUGCGGGAACUCCCGGAGGAAGUGCCAGCAGGGAGAGGUGGGCCUGUUCCGCAGAGCCAAGCCCUGCUCCGUGUCCUGGGCUGUGGGAGACUCCAGAGUACCCCAGGAGCCAGCAAUGUCAGACCCACCCCCGCGACACCUGUCUGAGCGUCAGCUGUAAAGCUGCUAGGAGUCGAAGAGUCUUCACCCUGCCUCGCGUCUAAGAACGGUCGGUGCAGCUGGACGAGGACACAACACAAUCUUUAAGCAACUGGCAGGUGCAGAGUUGAGAGAACCUUCAGGGCUCAGGCACUAACUCCCCUCCUGGUGGUCACCUGGCAGGACUCCUUCCUCUACGUGCCUUAGCCUUUUCCUCAGCCUCCAAGUGUUCAAGAGACCUGGUCAGGACCUGUCCUGAAAGGCCCUUGAGGCCAAGGCAUCUAGAUAUACAUGCGCAGUGUUGAUGCAACAUUUAACCUGCUGUUCUUACAACACGCAGGCUUCUGGGGGCAGAACUGACUGGAACCGAGAAGCACGAAGACCUCAGAGUGGAGGUGCUCCCCUUCCCGGGGCUGGGGUUCUGCACCGGGGCUGAGAUCCCUGGGUCCCUGGGGCCCAGGACCCACGCGAGGUCAGGCGGGGCACAUGGCCGUGCUUUCCUGCCCCUGCUGGCUCUCAUCAUGUCCUAAAAGGGCUCCGUAAGUCCCAACAGCAGGAGCCACUGCCCUCGAGGAUUAGUAUACGGCGAAGUAUCAGGAAGCCAAGGGCACAGCAGGCUCUGUCUGCUCUGCCACGAGUGGCUGGGGGUCGCUACAAAAACAGAGCAAUGGAGUAUGUGCCUCAGAUGCCACCUCUGUCACCUCAAUCCUAGAGCCCAAGCUAAAAUGUCCUCUAGUUGUCAUCUAUUAUGGCUUUUUCACAUCAUAAAUCUUCCCACCAAGUUAACAUUCUCAUUGCUGACAGAAUUAAGGUUUCCCAGAUUUUCUCUUGGGCUUUAAAGACGACAUUUCCUAAACUAAAGAGUUAAAGGAUAAAGGAGGCAGUAAUUUUACAAGCCAAAUACAAAUUCAGUGACUAUAUUCAAAUUAAGAAUGGAAAACUCAGUGAUACUCUUAGGUCGGGAGCACCACCACCAGCUGCUCCCUAGCCUACCUUACGUAAUAGGCUGGCGUAAAAGGAAUUGCGGCUUAAAAGGUUAAAAAAUUGCAAAAACUGCAAUUACUUUUACACCGACUUAAUACUUGUAAUUUAAGGGAAACAGAAUUUGUGCCCCAUGUGUCACUAUUCAGAUGACAAAAAGGUCCAGUUAACUUGCCCUUGUAUCAGUACUGUCAUGUGUCCUUUGCCCCCUUAGUCACUCUUGACCUGGCUCUCUGACCAUGGCUAGGGACAAAGCAAGUCCUGCACUGAAUCACCUCAACUUCCAAUGUGGAAAAUACGGAAGCUGGUAAACAGCAGGUGGGCAGAUACAAGGCACUCCCUCCCCACAGAUCUUCCUCAAAAUACAACUAGGCGGGAGAACUUCUAUAAGAAGGACAGUCUCCCCUAAGCCAGCUGCCUUCCAUCUUGAGGGCUCAAAGCAAGGAUGAGAUUUAUCCCAAAGAAAAUGGAUUCAGGUCACUGUGGAAUAGAAUCAUUUAUAUAUCUGCGUAAAUAUACACGGCCACCCCUGCCUCCUACCACCCCCCCACCCCCCUAUUCCCCUACCAAAUACCAAUGAUUAUAAAAACCAAACAUCUACUAUGGAGAGGCUUGGCAUCUGUUGAGCCUAGGCCAGCACAAUAGAAUGUUCUGGAAUGAUGUAAGUGUUCUCUAUCUGUGCUGUUCAAUAUGGUAGCCGCAGGCAGCUACUGAGCACUUUAAAAAUGGACACGAAAAUGAGGAACUGAAUUUUUUAACUGUGUUAACAUUUUAAUGGCUACAUGUGGUGAGUGGCCACCAUAUCAGGCACAAUACCCACCAUGGUUGUGGGAAUGCUGGCCAGGUUAGCUGCGUGAAAAAUGGCCGGACAUCACAGGGAUGACUCCCCAGUCAGGCAGGGCAGCGCUAGGAAGAACCAGGACCACAGAGUCUGUCAACAGUGACACACGUCACAGGGACGCUGCCGAACUUCUGGAAACAUGUGGGGUACAGCUGCAGAGCUGGGGGACUCAGAACCACUAGCUGGUUUGACGAGGGCUCGUCAGCAUAGUCAGGGACAACCUAACUUCAGAGAGCUGUCCUCAUGGGAAUUACUGGAAAACGAGCUUGUUUUUUCUAACCUAGAAUUGCGGGGUGGGGUAAGGAACAAAACCAAAACCAUCUGUCCCAAGGCCUGAAGAGGCGUUAGGCAAAAGCAAACAGGAAAGGGCUCCUCCACAGAGGGCUUUUAUUUCUUUCCACCUACAAAGGGGCAGGGGCGGCAGGCUCCUGAUGGUGCCAGCUCUGCCCUCAGGAAGAACUACACUCUGGCCUGCCAACCUCGGGCAGGCUCACCCGCUAAGCAGCCAGUCGCAAGCGUGCAUGUCUGGCUGCAUUCCCACCACAACAGAAGAGCCCAUAAAGCGUCAAGUAUUUACCGCCCAGCCUUUACAGAAAAAGUGAUCCAGCCCGUUUUCCAGAUGAGAGAGAAAAGCCAUUUGGUUACACAGUCUGAUGGGAGAGCAGGAGACCAGAGAAGGGAACUGCUUUUCCUGCAGGGCCCAGAGGGGCGCCUUGCCCGUCACGGGCACGGGCCCCGGGCAGGAGCCGUCCCCUGGGUGCCAAGGCUUGGCCCAGGGUCGGCC